UUGAUAAGAGAUUCCAGGUCACAAUCCGAUGGUAUGCUCAAUAUAGAUGAUACUACUGCAUGUUCUGUUUUACAGGAUACCUUUGAGAUUCUUGCUUGUAAAGAGAUUCGACUAUCAAUAAAUCGAGUAUCAUCAUCAGAAUCUGGUGAUGUAGGUGAGGAAGGGGGUGAGAGCGGAGGAGCAUCUGCUGCUAGAGGAAAGGUCAUCACUCACGCAGUGAGAAAGAGUCUCAUACAAAACACCAUACCCAUCUUCAUUGAGUUAAAAAGGCUAAUGGAAAGCAAGAAUCGCCCCUUAUAGGUUCCCUCAUGGAAUGCCUUCGAGUUCUUCUCAAGGACUACAAGAACGAAAUUGAUGACUUAUUGGUAGCUGAUAAGCAACUUCAGAAAGAGCUCCUCUAUGACAUUCAAAGAUAUGAAUCUACCAAAGCCAAGUCAGCCGUUGCUGAGGCAGUCAACGAGAUGCAAAAGUCAACUAACUAUCUUUCUCCCGAGGCUCCUCCUCAAGCU
This is an RNA transcript of Cucumis sativus (cucumber), 509 nucleotides long. RefSeq lists it as uncharacterized. The record is from RefSeq and is a predicted model, not a curated record. The transcript has 3 exons. Lineage: Eukaryota; Viridiplantae; Streptophyta; Magnoliopsida; Cucurbitales; Cucurbitaceae.